This is a non-coding RNA of Anolis sagrei ordinatus, 553 nucleotides long. NCBI's taxonomy places the organism in Eukaryota, Metazoa, Chordata, Lepidosauria, Squamata, Anolidae. The record is from RefSeq and is a predicted model, not a curated record.
AGCAUUACAAACAACACCCGCCAAGCUUUUUGUCCCUUUCAGAAUCCCGUCCUUCAGUUAGUCACGUAGCGCCGCUCGUGUAAAAUGUAAGGCCUGCUCUGAUUGGAUGCCUUCCCACAAGGCGCUCAGGGAUUGGUCGGAAUCAGCCCCCCUUGUUGCUGAGCUACGCCGAAGGAGCGGGAGAUGGAACGAAGAGGGCUGGGGUUGCCAUAGCGGCGGUCGCGGCUGGGAAACCGGAAGAGCAAAGGAUUCAACGGUUAUAAGAAGCAAAUAUUUGGAACACUACCUCCGAAGGGAUGCAUAAUGGUACUUAACCACUGUACUGUCUGUACACAUUUUCAAAACACACCCAAAACUGGGCCCAGCAUCUUCUUUCACCUCUGUCAAUGAGAGUAUCCCAGAUUUCUCAUUAGUCCUGAAUUCUGCAGUUUAGUUUUUCAAGCUCUUUAUGACAACUGAAGUAAUCCUUAAAAGAAGAAAGACUAUUUCUGAAGUUCAUACAAAUAGGAAAUACGGAAAUUCAAAAGAGGAUGCUACAUUCAUUUACCAGAAA